UACGGAGGGUGCAAGCGUUAUCCGGAUUUACUGGGUUUAAAGGGUGCGUAGGCGGAUAUUUAAGUCAGAGGUGAAAUCUCCGAGCUCAACUCGGAAACUGCCUUUGAUACUAUUUAUCUUGAAUUUCGUUGAGGUUGGCGGAAUAUAUCAUGUAGCGGUGAAAUGCAUAGAUAUGAUAUAGAACACCGAUUGCGAAGGCAGCUAACUAAACGAAUAUUGACGCUGAGGCACGAAAGCGUGGGGAGCGAACAGG
Molecule: ribosomal RNA, 253 nt
Filed under: uncultured bacterium
Lineage: Bacteria
Description: partial 16S ribosomal RNA
Rfam family: Bacterial small subunit ribosomal RNA
Source: RNAcentral